GCAAGUCGCCGAGCAGCACAGUGUAGCAAUACAUGGGUGGCGACCGGCAAACGGGUGCGGAACACGUACACAACCUACCUUUAAGNGGGGAAUAACCCNGAGAAAUUCGGANUAAUACCCCAUAGUAACUAAUUGUGGCAUCACUUUUAGUUUAAAACUACNGUGCUUAGAGAUGGGUGUGCGUCUGAUUANGUAAUUGGAGAGGUAACGGCUCACCAANCCAACGAUCAGUAGCUGAUGUGAGAACAUGAUCAGCCACACGGGCACUGAGACACGGGCCCGACUCCUACGGGAGGCAGCAGUAAGGAAUAUUGGACAAUGGACGCAAGUCUGAUCCAGCCAUGCCGCGUGAAGGAUUAAGGUCCUCUGGAUUGUAAACUUCUUUUAUAGGGGAAGAAANGCANAGAUUCUUCUUUAUCUGACG
RNAcentral lists this ribosomal RNA (424 nucleotides) under uncultured rape rhizosphere bacterium wr0062. Its description in RNAcentral is "bacterial SSU rRNA". It matches the Rfam family "Bacterial small subunit ribosomal RNA", at positions 57 to 474 of the family's 1533-position model. The record is from RNAcentral.